Molecule: long non-coding RNA, 885 nt
Filed under: Trifolium pratense (red clover)
Lineage: Eukaryota; Viridiplantae; Streptophyta; Magnoliopsida; Fabales; Fabaceae
Description: long non-coding RNA (TPRA_LNC014065)
Source: RNAcentral
CAAUAUACAGUGUUGAGGUACUUCUGAAUUUUCAUCAUUUCACUAUAAGUUGCAAAUGUUACCUGCUCAUUACCAAUGAUCAGACUCCAAUACAAGAUAUUGUGUACUCAUCAUUGAUGCGUCUUUUUUGUAAAUAGGUUUUGUACCGAAUAUUAAUAUUUAUAUAUGUAUGUAGACAGAUGUGUUUGUGCAUGUAUAGAGUUUGGAAAUAAUGUGCAACUGUGCAAGUAAAUAUAUAUAUAUUUUUUGUUGGUAACCAUGUUAAUGGUGCGAAGUAUGACUAAUUUCCGCCAAAGAACCCGGAUGACCACUUUUAGUGGGGGUCUCGCCUCCUAACCACAUUUUUUCAUUCACAAGACUCGAACUUGAUACCUUGCUUAAGGGAUAUGAGUUCAAUUCCACGCUAAUGUGAUGUUGGUUUGUUGGCAUAUUGAAAAAUUAAUGUGCGUGUAAGUCUAGCAUUGUGAAAGUGUGGCGUUAUAUGGAAAUUACUUUUUCUCCAAAGAAUUUACUGAUGCAUAGCUGAAUCUGAAUGAGACUGGUCUUAGUCUUACACCAAAGUAUGUGGAAAUAUCUGGGAAGGGGAAACCAGAAAGUAACUAAUUGGGAAAAAAGUUAAGAGAAAUAAUACGCUAGACUACUUUCUAUUGGUCUACCGAUACACCAUUUACACACACUCUUUAAAUUUUUUCAGCAAAGUCCUCCCAGGAGUGGAGUGUACUCAAUCUCGUAGAAGAUGCAACCACGGCUGUUCUCAAUCGGUAACUAUAGGCUGUGAAACAUUUCUGCAUCUCACUCCCUAUUUCUUCCAAAUACCAAUCAAAUUUUUACUCUCCUCAACAUGCCACCGGGGAAGAUGGCAGCAGUACUACCAUAGCUACCAUU